Molecule: small RNA, 259 nt
Filed under: Nomascus leucogenys (northern white-cheeked gibbon)
Lineage: Eukaryota; Metazoa; Chordata; Mammalia; Primates; Hylobatidae
Description: Metazoan signal recognition particle RNA (ENSNLEG00000033571.1)
Source: RNAcentral
GCUGGGCGUGGUGGUGGGUGCCUGUAAUCCCAGCUACUUGGGAGGCUGAGAUGGGAGAAUUGCUUGAACCUGGGAGGUGGAGGUUGCAGUGAGCCGAGGCUGCACCACUGCACUCCAGCCUAGGCAACAAGAGCGAAAAUGUCCCAAAAAAAAAAAAAAAAGAUGGAGUCUCACUUUGUCACCCAUGCUAGAGUGCAGUGGUGUGAUCACAGCUCACUACAGCCUCCAUCUCCCAGGCUCAAGUGAUCUUCCCACCUCA